CCUACGGGAGGCAGCAGUGAGGAAUAUUGGUCAAUGGGCGAAAGCCUGAACCAGCCAAGUCGCGUGCAGGAGUACUGCCCUAUGGGUUGUAAACCUCUUUUGUCGGGGAGCAAAAGCCGUACGUUUCCGGCUGUUAGAGUACCCGAAGAAAAAGCAUCGGCUAACUCCCUUCCAGCAGCCGCGGUAAUACGGAGGAUGCGAGCGUUAUCCGGGUUUUUUGGGUUUAAAGGGUGCGCAGGCGGAUUUUUAAGUCAGCGGUAAAAUCGUGGGGCUCAACCCCAUCCAGCCGUUGAAACUGGGGAGCUGGAGUGUGCGAGAGGCAGGCGGAAUGCGUGGUGUAGCGGUGAAAUGCAUAGAUAUCACGCAGAACCCCGAUUGCGAAGGCAGCAUACCGGUGCACAACUGACGCUCAGGCACGAAAGCGUGGGUAUCGAACAGGAUUAGAUACCCUGGUAGUC
Molecule: ribosomal RNA, 458 nt
Filed under: uncultured bacterium
Lineage: Bacteria
Description: partial 16S ribosomal RNA
Rfam family: Bacterial small subunit ribosomal RNA
Source: RNAcentral